UCCUGUUAAUCCUAAAGUGUUAUAUGUGCUUGUGUGUUGGUGUCCUCUACAUGUUUGUUCUUAUACUUACGAGAACUGAAAAUAUUCUGUUUUUCAGGUAUCCGUUCAAGUGGUUGCUGGCUAAUGUAUGAUGGAUAAAGAGUAGCGUCUUGGUAUUUAUGGUAUGUACGUGUAGUUUUAAAUUGAAAUUUCAAAACAUCUUUUACAAAUAACUAGUAGCAAAAUCCAGGUUGUGAGAAGAAAAGUGGACCUCAAUGCUACCGUACAAUUAAUAGGAUACUAUGUUGCUUCCAGCCCGUGGAUAAGAAUGUUUUAGUCGCUGGGGUCCUAGAGAGAUUGGUGAACAGAUGAAGCUGAUGGGAGAUCUCUGGUCACCUGCAAGUUAAGCUAAUUUAAGAUCAAGUUCGACGGUUACUUAGUUUCAAGUUCAGCAGUACCGCAGUAGUUAGUAUUCAAGUUCAGCAGCAAUUUUGUAAUAGUGAUUUCUGAAAUUUUCAUGCUGUUGGUUAGUUACUGCUAAGUGGCAUUCAAUUGUAUCAGGACGAAUUUUAUUUGUAAUCUCAAGGCUGGAAUUUGUUUUAGUGAGAUAUUUCCUGAAACCACUACAUGGAAUAUAUUUAUGACACCACAUUGUUACUCCGUGGUUAUCAAGAAUGCCUUGUG
This 663-nucleotide long non-coding RNA is filed under the name Triticum aestivum (bread wheat). RNAcentral's name for it is "long non-coding RNA (TAES_LNC003470)". The record is from RNAcentral. Lineage: Eukaryota; Viridiplantae; Streptophyta; Magnoliopsida; Poales; Poaceae.